Molecule: ribosomal RNA, 497 nt
Filed under: uncultured bacterium
Lineage: Bacteria
Description: partial 16S ribosomal RNA
Rfam family: Bacterial small subunit ribosomal RNA
Source: RNAcentral
GAUGAGCGCUGGCGGCGUGCCUAAUACAUGCAAGUCGAGCGAACAGACGUGGAGCUUGCUCCUCUGACGUUAGCGGCGGACGGGUGAGUAACACGUGGAUAACCUACCUAUAAGACUGGGAUAACUUCGGGAAACCGGAGCUAAUACCGGAUAAUAUAUUGAACCGCAUGGUUCAAUAGUGAAAGACGGUUUUGCUGUCACUUAUAGAUGGAUCCGCGCCGCAUUAGCUAGUUGGUAAGGUAACGGCUUACCAAGGCAACGAUGCGUAGCCGACCUGAGAGGGUGAUCGGCCACACUGGAACUGAGACACGGUCCAGACUCCUACGGGAGGCAGCAGUAGGGAAUCUUCCGCAAUGGGCGAAAGCCUGACGGAGCAACGCCGCGUGAGUGAUGAAGGUCUUCGGAUCGUAAAACUCUGUUAUUAGGGAAGAACAAAUGUGUAAGUAACUAUGCACGUCUUGACGGUACCUAAUCAGAAAGCCACGGCUAACUACGUG